This 460-nucleotide ribosomal RNA is filed under the name uncultured bacterium. RNAcentral describes it as "partial 16S ribosomal RNA". It matches the Rfam family "Bacterial small subunit ribosomal RNA", at positions 338 to 795 of the family's 1533-position model. The record is from RNAcentral.
CCUACGGGGGGCAGCAGUGAGGAAUAUUGGUCAAUGGGCGCGAGCCUGAACCAGCCAAGUAGCGUGAAGGAUGACUGCCCUACGGGUUGUAAACUUCUUUUGUCAGGGAGCAACGCCGGCUACGUGUAGCCGGACUGAGAGUACCUGAAGAAAAAGCAUCGGCUAACUCCGUGCCAGCAGCCGCGGUAAUACGGAGAAUGCGAGCGUUAUCCGGAUUGAUUGGGUUUAAAGGGUGCGUAGGCGGAAUGCCAAGUCAGCGGUAAAAUCGCGGGGCUCAACCUCGCUCCGCCGUUGAAACUGGCGUUCUUGAGUGGGCGAGAAGUAUGCGGAAUGCGUGGUGUAGCGGUGAAAUGCAUAGAUAUCACGCAGAACUCCGAUUGCGAAGGCAGCAUACCGGCGCCCAACUGACGCUGAAGCACGAAAGCGUGGGUAUCGAACAGGAUUAGAUACCCGGGUAGUC